AACAUAAAAGCAAAGAGUUUACACAAUCAUAAAACAUAAACAAAUUUAAAAUAGCAGAGUGGAGAGGUUAUGUGGGAUAAGCUAUUUUGAACAAGUGGGUUUUGAGUUGGGACUUAAAGAGAGAGAAGGUAGAGAUAUUUCUUAAAUCAGGAGGUAGGGAAUUCCAGAGUCGAGGAGCAGAGCAGCUGAAAGCCCUGCUCCCCAUGGUGACAAGACGGGGGGAGGGGACGGAGAUGAUUGAUUCAAAAUUUCAAGACUGUUCAUUCUUUUGGACAAGUGGACCCUGCUGAAUGGAAAGCUCCAGCGUGCUGUGUAUACCAUAUACAUAGAAAAUGUAAUAGGAGGGCAGAAGGUGCAUGAAGCAGGAAGUUAAAGGAGUGUUUUUAUAGUGUUUUAUGUUAACUGAUAACCACAUAUUCCAGUAAAGUGUUCCAGACAAAUACUACUCCGAUGAAAACAAAGGUGAAAGGGCAGCUCACACAUACCCUGUAAUAUGAUUGAGGUGAUAUCAAGAGUAUAUAAAAGCAUUUAUAGCAUGUCCUCUCAUUAUGCUUUCAUUCUUCACCCGCACAGCAGCUCUUGCUCAGUUGAUCUAACAGGUAAUGUCAUUAACAUUGUUCGGUAAGGCUGAAUUAACCUUGUGUACCCACAGUUUUCUAUUUCCUUUUUGUCUCAAGCUGUUGUCAUUUUAAGAGCGAUGGCAGCAGCAGACUUAUCAAGAACCACAGAACCAGCCAGAACUACCAAAGGCUUGUUUCUCAUCUGCUCUCUGCUGUGUCUUGCUUAUGUCACAAGUUCGCUGAAGACCAAGGAUCAAUUGGAAAAAAUGAAAACUGCAUUAGAAGAGGCUGAAAGACAGAAGGCAGAAGAUAAGUACAGAAAUGCAACCAUCACAAAACUAUUUGAUCUUGCAAGUUCACUAACUAACAAGGACCAGAUGGUAAUUUCAUAUUUUCUUAACCUUUUAUUUUGAUGUUAAACAAUUACAAAUGCAUUUCUAUCAUUAACUCCAGUAUUUAUAUCAUGACAACCUCAUUCACUACUGGAUCUUCCUACAUUUGCAGUUGUUUUCACUGAGUGCAUAAUCCUUAUGGUUUGUUCCCUACGGGGAAAUUUCAGGAAAUAUUCAAGGAAACCCUUCAAACAGCGACAGAAGAGGAAGAGAGACUGAAGGUGGGUCAGUCAGUCUCCAGUUUAUUCCCAGAAAGUCCAUAAUAUGAAAUGCUAUAUGUGAAAAGUUUUAUUUUUCUCCUUUAGGAAGAAUCCAAGUACAAAAUGAGAAUCGCCUCAAAACAAUACAAUGAAAAAAUAAAGGAAAUUAUUCCUCAAUUGGUAGAAGCAAUGAUAUUAUCAUAUGAUUCUCCACCACUGCAGGAAAUGGUUGACAUUGUAUUUCACAUGUUGGAAAAAACCAAAACUUACUUAGACAAAAAGCUGGAUUUGCUGCAAGAAUAGAGAACUGAGAAAAGAUAAGUGAAAGGAGUAAAUGAUGUGCUUAAGAAAAUUGUAAGAGAAACAAUAAAUUGAACUUGUGUUUCUGUUUUCGUUUGUUGACCUAUGUAACGUAUAUCAUGUAUUUGUGAAAGGACAUAAUCUGAAUUGUUUUUGUGACUUUCUCAAUUGUAUACUUCUUAGCUGCAUAACAUCUUGUCCUGUAAUGGUCUCUGAGUGGUAUUAUGAAGUGAAAAGCUUUACUCCUGGUGUGAGGCCUAAGCAAGAGCACAGUUGAGCUCUUCAGUCUUGAUGCUAUAAUGACUGCAGUAGUGAAACCUGGAUCCUUGUGUAGGCAGCACAACUUGUCAGUUUGUUGCAGUUAUUUAAGUUCCAGUGUUGCAGUUGUUUAGGCUGUGUUUAACUUCUUUAUCACAAAGAGAUCAGAAAAAGGCAGACCUGCAUAGCGUAUGAUCAGUUCUGCAGAAUAAUUUAAACACAUAAACAUGUAUAGUACAGUGUGUGUGUCAAUGUUUUAAUUUACUUCUUUAUUUAGAAGAUUUAUUCUGAUUAGAAAAAUUGUGCUACAAUGUAUACCAUUGCAAAUAACAUGUAUUAAGUUAGGUAAUAAAAACUCUUGGUGAUUUAUAUCAAUAAAGGAUUUGUAACUGUGCAAACUGUGACAUUUAUG
Molecule: long non-coding RNA, 2122 nt
Organism: Oreochromis niloticus (Nile tilapia)
Lineage: Eukaryota; Metazoa; Chordata; Actinopteri; Cichliformes; Cichlidae
Source: Ensembl